RNAcentral lists this ribosomal RNA (583 nucleotides) under Trichoderma spirale. RNAcentral's name for it is "eukaryotic LSU rRNA". The stretch from base 247 to 400 matches the Rfam family "5.8S ribosomal RNA". Lineage: Eukaryota; Fungi; Ascomycota; Sordariomycetes; Hypocreales; Hypocreaceae. The record is from RNAcentral.
UGAUGUCGUAACAAGGUCUCCGUUGGUGAACCAGCGGAGGGAUCAUUACCGAGUUUACAACUCCCAAACCCAAUGUGAACGUUACCAAACUGUUGCCUCGGCGGGAUCUCUGCCCCGGGUGCGUCGCAGCCCCGGACCAAGGCGCCCGCCGGAGGACCAACCAAAACUCUUUUGUAUACCCCCUCGCGGGUUUUUUAUAUCUGAGCCAUCUCGGCGCCUCUCGUAGGCGUUUCGAAAAUGAAUCAAAACUUUCAACAACGGAUCUCUUGGUUCUGGCAUCGAUGAAGAACGCAGCGAAAUGCGAUAAGUAAUGUGAAUUGCAGAAUUCAGUGAAUCAUCGAAUCUUUGAACGCACAUUGCGCCCGCCAGUAUUCUGGCGGGCAUGCCUGUCCGAGCGUCAUUUCAACCCUCGAACCCCUCCGGGGGGUCGGCGUUGGGGAUCGGCCCUUUACGGGGCCGGCCCCGAAAUACAGUGGCGGUCUCGCCGCAGCCUCUCCUGCGCAGUAGUUUGCACACUCGCAUCGGGAGCGCGGCGCGUCCAUUGCCGUAAAACACCCAACUUUCUGAAUAUGUUAGAGCUCUG